ACGAACGCUGGCGGCGUGCUUAACACAUGCAAGUCGAACGGAAAGGCCCUGCUUUUGUGGGGUGCUCGAGUGGCGAACGGGUGAGUAACACGUGAGUAACCUGCCCUUGACUUUGGGAUAACUUCAGGAAACUGGGGCUAAUACCGGAUAGGAGCUCCUGCUGCAUGGUGGGGGUUGGAAAGUUUCGGCGGUUGGGGAUGGACUUGCGGCUUAUCAGCUUGUUGGUGGGGUAGUGGCUUACCAAGGCUUUGACGGGUAGCCGGCCUGAGAGGGUGACCGGCCACAUUGGGACUGAGGUACGGCCCAGACUCCUACGGGAGGCAGCAGUGGGGAAUAUUGCACAAUGGGCGGACGCCUGAUGCAGCAACGCCGCGUGCGGGAUGACGGCCUUCGGGUUGUAAACCGCUUUCGAAUGUGACGAAGCGUGAGUGACGGUAAUGGGUAAAGAAGCACCGGCUAACUACGUG
This 467-nucleotide ribosomal RNA is filed under the name uncultured bacterium. RNAcentral's name for it is "partial 16S ribosomal RNA". It matches the Rfam family "Bacterial small subunit ribosomal RNA", at positions 29 to 507 of the family's 1533-position model. The record is from RNAcentral.